CGAGACCAGGACGUUGAUAGGUCGGGUGUGUAAGCGCAGUAAUGCGUUCAGCUAACCGAUACUAAUUGCCCGUAAGGCUUGAUCCUAUAACA
RNAcentral lists this ribosomal RNA (92 nucleotides) under Burkholderia ubonensis. RNAcentral's name for it is "partial 23S ribosomal RNA". It matches the Rfam family "Bacterial large subunit ribosomal RNA", at positions 2840 to 2925 of the family's 2925-position model. Lineage: Bacteria; Pseudomonadati; Pseudomonadota; Betaproteobacteria; Burkholderiales; Burkholderiaceae. The record is from RNAcentral.